RNAcentral lists this ribosomal RNA (376 nucleotides) under uncultured bacterium. RNAcentral describes it as "bacterial SSU rRNA". It matches the Rfam family "Bacterial small subunit ribosomal RNA", at positions 790 to 1167 of the family's 1533-position model. The record is from RNAcentral.
GUAGUCCACGCUGUAAACGAUGGGUACUAGGUGUGGGAGGUAUCGACUCCUUCCGUGCCGGCGUUAACACAAUAAGUACCCCGCCUGGGGAGUACGAUCGCAAGAUUAAAACUCAAAGGAAUUGACGGGGGCCCGCACAAGCAGCGGAGCAUGUGGUUUAAUUCGAAGCAACGCGAAGAACCUUACCUGGACUUGACAUCGUCUGAAUAUCUAAGAGAUUAGAGAAACCCUUCGGGGCAGAUAGACAGGUGGUGCAUGGUUGUCGUCAGCUCGUGUCGUGAGAUGUUAGGUUAAGUCCUGCAACGAGCGCAACCCUUAUCAUUAGUUGCUACCAUUAAGUUGAGCACUCUAAUGAGACUGCCCGGGUUAACCGGGA